AACGCGAAGAACCUUACCUGGGUUUGACAUGCAUAUGACGUAUACAGAGAUGUAUAUUUCCCGCAAGGGACAUUUGCACAGGUGCUGCAUGGCUGUCGUCAGCUCGUGCCGUGAGGUGUUGGGUUAAGUCCCGCAACGAGCGCAACCCUUGUCGUUAGUUGCCAGCAAGUAAAGUUGGGAACUCUAACGAGACUGCCUGGGUUAACCAGGAGGAAGGUGAGGAUGACGUCAAGUCCGCAUGGCCUUUAUGCCCAGGGCUACACACGUGCUACAAUGGUCGGUACAGAGGGUAGCAAAGCCGAGAGGUGGAGCAAAUCCUAAAAGCCGGCCCCAGUUCGGAUUGUAGUCUGCAACUCGACUACAUGAAGAUGGAAUUGCUAGUAAUGGCGGGUCAGCAACACCGCCGUGAAUACGUUCCCGGGCCUUGUACACACCGUACGUC
RNAcentral lists this ribosomal RNA (442 nucleotides) under uncultured bacterium. RNAcentral's name for it is "bacterial SSU rRNA". It matches the Rfam family "Bacterial small subunit ribosomal RNA", at positions 958 to 1398 of the family's 1533-position model. The record is from RNAcentral.